AUGCUGUGGUACUGGUGACACACCCAUAGCAUCGGCUCCUACAGAGGAGUAUAUCAGCACCACAAUGGUUGACACUGUUGGAGCUUCUUUCAUGGAAGCUGGACGGCCCGUCGCUGUUGGCGGCAAGUGAAGUCAACGCCAGCUGGUUGAGCCUCGUCCAGUCGGACUCUUUGCUGGCACGCAGGCUUAGGAGACAGAAGAAGAUCGUGCGGGGUCAGCGCGAGGCCCGGGUGUUCGCUGCCGGCUACCUGCCGCUGAGGACGCCGCACUCUAUACCGAAACCGUUCGCAGACCGCAACGGACGCUUCGCCGUCACCAAACCCGACAAUGGUGGUGCGCAGCUGCUAGCUGAGCCUCUAGGGGUCAACAAAGCCGUCAAGAGGAAGAGCACCAGCAGCCUGCAGUCGGCGAAGCAGAGGUUUGCAGCGGAUCGUCGUGUUAUGACACCGAAC
This is a long non-coding RNA of Schistocerca cancellata (South American locust), 452 nucleotides long. RefSeq lists it as uncharacterized. The transcript has 3 exons. NCBI's taxonomy places the organism in Eukaryota, Metazoa, Arthropoda, Insecta, Orthoptera, Acrididae. The record is from RefSeq and is a predicted model, not a curated record.